GCAGUAGGGAAUCUUCCGCAAUGGGCGAAAGCCUGACGGAGCAAUGCCGCGUGAGUGAUGAAGGUUUUCGGAUCGUAAAGCUCUGUUGCCAGGGAAGAACGCUUGGGAGAGUAACUGCUCUCAAGGUGACGGUACCUGAGAAGAAAGCCCCGGCUAACUACGUGCCAGCAGCCGCGGUAAUACGUAGGGGGCAAGCGUUGUCCGGAAUUAUUGGGCGUAAAGCGCGCGCAGGCGGUCAUUUAAGUCUGGUGUUUAAUCCCGGGGCUCAACCCCGGAUCGCACUGGAAACUGGGUGACUUGAGUGCAGAAGAGGAGAGUGGAAUUCCACGUGUAGCGGUGAAAUGCGUAGAUAUGUGGAGGAACACCAGUGGCGAAGGCGACUCUCUGGGCUGUAACUGACGCUGAGGCGCGAAAGCGUGGGGAGCAAACAGGAUUAGAUACCCCKGGUAGUCAG
Molecule: ribosomal RNA, 454 nt
Filed under: Paenibacillus mobilis
Lineage: Bacteria; Bacillati; Bacillota; Bacilli; Caryophanales; Paenibacillaceae
Description: bacterial SSU rRNA
Source: RNAcentral